RNAcentral lists this ribosomal RNA (492 nucleotides) under uncultured bacterium. Its description in RNAcentral is "partial 16S ribosomal RNA". It matches the Rfam family "Bacterial small subunit ribosomal RNA", at positions 29 to 507 of the family's 1533-position model. The record is from RNAcentral.
AGUGAACGCUGGCGGUAGGCCUAACACAUGCAAGUCGAACGGCAGCACAGUAAGAGCUUGCUCUUACGGGUGGCGAGUGGCGGACGGGUGAGGAAUACAUCGGAAUCUACUUUUUCGUGGGGGAUAACGUAGGGAAACUUACGCUAAUACCGCAUACGACCUACGGGUGAAAGCAGGGGAUCUUCGGACCUUGCGCGAUAGAAUGAGCCGAUGUCGGAUUAGCUAGUUGGCGGGGUAAAGGCCCACCAAGGCGACGAUCCGUAGCUGGUCUGAGAGGAUGAUCAGCCACACUGGAACUGAGACACGGUCCAGACUCCUACGGGAGGCAGCAGUGGGGAAUAUUGGACAAUGGGCGCAGGCCUGAUCCAGCCAUACCGCGUGGGUGAAGAAGGCCUUCGGGUUGUAAAGCCCUUUUGUUGGGAAAGAAAAGCAGCAGGUUAAUACCCCGCUGUUCUGACGGUACCCAAAGAAUAAGCACCGGCUAACUUCGUG